Molecule: transfer RNA, 72 nt
Filed under: Anguilla anguilla (European eel)
Lineage: Eukaryota; Metazoa; Chordata; Actinopteri; Anguilliformes; Anguillidae
Rfam family: tRNA
About the family: Transfer RNA (tRNA) molecules are approximately 80 nucleotides in length. Their secondary structure includes four short double-helical elements and three loops (D, anti-codon, and T loops).
Source: Rfam by way of RNAcentral
CCCCUGGUGGUCUAGUGGUUAGGAUUUGGCACUAUCACUGCUGCAGCCCGGGUUCGAUUCGCGGUCAGGGAA